This is an RNA transcript of Lolium rigidum, 1142 nucleotides long. RefSeq lists it as uncharacterized. The transcript is spliced from 5 exons. Lineage: Eukaryota; Viridiplantae; Streptophyta; Magnoliopsida; Poales; Poaceae. The record is from RefSeq and is a predicted model, not a curated record.
GCUUGCUGCUGCUGCUGGCUAGAAACGGCCACCAGCUCCGGGGCCAUUUUCACGUCACCGCCGGCGACCUCGUCUGCAUCCAGCUGCCCGCUUGCUGUGAAGCUCCAGGGAUUCAAAUAAUUGCAAGCUCGCAGUGGUGAAUCAAUACUCACGAACAAAGCCACGGUGAUCAGAUGUAUCGCGAGUUGCUGACAAUUUUUGCUCCGUGGAGGGAGCUUUUCUCCGUGCCAAUCAUGCAUCAAAGUUAUAGCACAACUCAUUGACACAUCCCCGGAUUGCAAAAGUAGUUUGCUCCUGUUCUGGUGAUGGAGAAAGUGAGGAGGAUACUGAAGUGGUGGAGAGAGAAGAAGAAGCACGCGCGAGCAUGGCCGACACUUAGGUGGCAUGGCGGCCGGGUUUUUGUCACCGGAGGAGCUACGGUAACGAGUUGGAGUUGCCGGCGAGACCGCGAUAGUCAAGCCAGCGAGAUGGUGAGACCGCGAGAGUCAAGACGGCAAGCCGGGGAUCAGGUCUUACCCUCCCUGCUGCCUCUGGCCGCGGUGGCGAGGCAUGACACAGGUUCCUCUGGCGACGGUUCCCUGCUAACCAGGCAGGUGGAUGAGGUAUUAGAAAAACAUGGAACUGAGCUGAUUUAUUUUGUGUAGGUACAUAACUUUUGGCCUACUUGAACUUCAACUUUUCUGUUGGAGGAAGAACAUCACUUCUUCCAGAGAACUCUUCGAUUUCCGAGAAGAAUAUUUUGGAACACAUGUCAAAGAAGAAUAUAUACACAGUUUCAUGAGAUGAUGUUCAAUGAAAAAACACUUGUGGAGUAGCUGCAACACUUAGAACCAUGCUAUUAUGGUGCUUCACCUUCGUCUUUCCUUUAUGUGUUUGUAUCCAUUUUUGCGUUGGACAUUGUCUACUGACUGUAUGGGAGCAUGGCUGAUUGCGCUGGUUUACGAAUGGGCAUGGAUGAGAAGAUGCUUUUAGUCAAUAGAGAACUUGUGUUACCCCAGACCAAGCUCAUGUAUGGGGAAAUAGUUGAAGUGAGGUUUUCUCCACAUAUUACCUGAGAUAAUUUACAAGUUGGCUAGACCGUGUAGUAGUAACUUAUGCUGUAAAUAUGAGUUUUGAUGCAAUAAAUUCAAGUUUGAAUCAAA